Molecule: small nuclear RNA, 141 nt
Organism: Marmota marmota marmota (Alpine marmot)
Lineage: Eukaryota; Metazoa; Chordata; Mammalia; Rodentia; Sciuridae
Gene: U4
Rfam family: U4 spliceosomal RNA
About the family: U4 small nuclear RNA (U4 snRNA) is a component of the major U2-dependent spliceosome. The structure of U4 snRNA from yeast and human has been reported.
Source: Ensembl
AGCUUUGUUCAGUGGCAGUCUUACAGCUAAUGAGGCUUAUAUGAGGCAAGAUAAUUGCUAAUUGAAAACUUUUCCCAAUACUCCAUUGUGAUGUCUUGCAAUAUAGUCAGCAUUGGCAAUUUCUGGUAGUCUCUACAGAGC